GCAUUUAGAAGGGCUUAUCUUCGUACUGGUCUGGAACUUACUGCAAUCGAAAGGAACUGGCCUGAAAGAGAUUAGGAAAAGCAUUAAUUAAGAAUGCUUUAGAAAUAAUAGUACUUUAGGAUAGGAUUGACUGUGAACUCUUACGCUAGGUGGUACUGGAGUUCCACAAAAAAGAUGCGACUCCCCAUGAAAAAGGCGUGAAAGAAGUAAUGAAAGGGAAGCCCCGGGUCAAACCGCGUUCGUUCUUGCCUGUAUAGCUUUCUAGAGCAGAGAUCUAGCAGCGCAUUAUAGGCACAGAUCAUUGGUAUUGGAUGUAUCGUUAGGUUGUGCCGAUUCAAAUCUGCUCCGUUUUUUGCAUUGCAGAAAAGAGAUCUCUUCCCCCUGCUUAAAAAAAUGAUGAAUAUGAAGUCCGUGGGGCUGCAGGUACUAUGGAUCCUCUGACUCCCAAUCGGGUUGCCUUCCCAGGUCUCGCCGGUCUUGCCUGUAGGUCGUGAUGUGCCUAGAGAUGGCCGUCUCCUGUCCCCCUGCCGGUGGGGAAUCCGCUCCCGGGUUGGUUGUCGCUCUGCUGCGUCUGGCCCGUCCUCUAGGCACCUUUGGAAGGCAGGGAGUGUGACAACGUACACGUUUCCCUUUACUCCAUAGGGUCUUCUUACGGUGGAUUGAAUGUGGAUUAGGGUGAUUGCACCCCAGAAUUUACAGUUGCUGAUCCUGCAAAGAUAACUGUGGAAAUUAUAAUUUAUGAGAAGUGUAUAUAGAAAGGCGGACAGAGAAGCUAUCAGAGUGCCAUCAGCUUUCCUCAAACCUUGAGAUACCAAAAUCGGGGAAGAUCCAAUGGUGAUGAUGGAAAAGCUGCCAAACUUGAGAAUGAAAGAUGAUAAUGCAAGUUCCCUCUCUCUCCUUCUUCUCCUCCUCUUUAUCUUGAGAAUGCAAGACCUUCCCUUUCUGCUAAAAAGGUUGUUACGGGAAACUAUGGAUCCUCAAAGGUCACUUCCUCUUGUCAUCAGGGCACGUGUCUACAUUGCAGUUAAGUAAUUUGCAACUUUACUGUAAGAAUUAUGUUUUCCCUUGCAUUCUUGUCUUUUAGAUCUCACAUAAUGUGAAGGGCUAUAGAAAGGCUUCAUUCCUGAAAGCUUGUAGAAAGCAUAAGUAGCUGCAAUUUUUCUAAAAAGAAUUACAUGAGCAUAAGUAUGGAUGUUAAGCAUAAUGGGUAGGAAUUUUUGUUCAAGCUCGUGCUAAGAAAAUAAGGAUGACAAGCAGCUCAAGUCUUGAUUUCGAUCAAUUGUAGCCUAGUGAUUUUCUAUAUAGCAUGCUGCCAUCCUGUUGGAUAGCUUAAAAUCAAAUUCAGUAACUUAGUGUUUUCCAUUGGUUAUUGGAUAAAGAUAAGAGGUAGUUUUUUCCCAUAAUGAUCUAAUUAGAAAUUGAAUUCAAUUAUAUAUGCCUAUUAUUUAAUAGAAAAACAGCAGCAAUGACUCACAGCUCGACCCAUUUCCUCAGCGAAUGAAGCAUGGUUUGGAUUGAGGUGGACAAUUGAUAGAGUUUUUAUGAUUUUGACAACUCCACUGUUGAACCAAUCUUUCUAAUUUUGUUUUAUGUUUGAUUUGAAUGAGUUUUGAUGAGAUGGGUUAUACU
Long non-coding RNA from Manihot esculenta (cassava), 1629 nucleotides. RefSeq lists it as uncharacterized. The transcript is spliced from 3 exons. Lineage: Eukaryota; Viridiplantae; Streptophyta; Magnoliopsida; Malpighiales; Euphorbiaceae. The record is from RefSeq and is a predicted model, not a curated record.